UACGUAGGGGGCUAGCGUUGUCCGGAAUCAUUGGGCGUAAAGCGCGCGUAGGCGGCCCGGUAAGUCCGCUGUAAAAGUCCAGGGCUCAACCCUGGGAUGCCGGUGGAUACUGUCGAGCUCGAGUCCGGAAGAGGCGAGUGGAAUUCCUGGUGUAGCGGUGAAAUGCGCAGAUAUCAGGAGGAACACCAAUGGCGAAGGCAGCUCGCUGGGACGUGACUGACGCUGAGACGCGAAAGCGUGGGGAGCAAACAGG
RNAcentral lists this ribosomal RNA (253 nucleotides) under uncultured bacterium. RNAcentral's name for it is "partial 16S ribosomal RNA". It matches the Rfam family "Bacterial small subunit ribosomal RNA", at positions 524 to 776 of the family's 1533-position model. The record is from RNAcentral.